GCCCCAGUAGCUCAGGCGGUAGAGCACCUGCCUUUUAAGCAGGGUGUCCGGGGUUCGAGUCCCCGCUGGAGCACCA
This 76-nucleotide transfer RNA is filed under the name Oscillospiraceae bacterium. Its description in RNAcentral is "tRNA-Lys". It matches the Rfam family "tRNA". From Rfam's summary of the family: Transfer RNA (tRNA) molecules are approximately 80 nucleotides in length. Their secondary structure includes four short double-helical elements and three loops (D, anti-codon, and T loops). The record is from RNAcentral. Lineage: Bacteria; Bacillati; Bacillota; Clostridia; Eubacteriales; Oscillospiraceae.